AUGUAUUCAAAGAUGUAAUUAAAGAAGGGUUUCCUGAGUUGAAAAAGGAUGAAGGUGCAGAUCAGAAGGGCUCACUGUGUUCAAAGUAAAUUAAAUGAGAAGAGAACUUCGUUACACGUGAAUUACAGGGAUGGAGAAAGAGACUAUAAGCGUUCAUGCAGAAAAAACAGAUGGAGGUGAAAAACAGGGGAACGGCGCUGGGCUGGCCUUAGACUGACUUCCCUUUCCCCUGGACACAGUGGACCCCUGGCUACAGAAUUUGGAUGGAAAAAGUUGUGACCUGACCUUUUUAUUUCUAGCCAAGCCUUAAAAAUAUCUGUUAAUAUAAAAAUAAGGUACUUGCUAAUACACUGAAAAUAGGCCAACCAUCUAAUUUUUCUGGGAAAAAAAUGACCCUAUAGAGACAUAGUUUCAUAUAUGAAAUUUAAGAUUAUAAACCAGGACAUAAGAUGACUGCUAUAAUACCCCAUGGCACAGAGAGGGGCAAGAACACAGUUAUGUCCCAGUUCCAGAGGCAAACUGUCAUCCGGGCAAAUGAGUUCAAGCUGACCACAUCAACAAAGCUGCAGGAAUGUGGAGAAAUUGUCGCCUCUGUCUACCUUGCCAUCUGGAUGGAGCCUGAAAGUAAAUAUUUCAUUAUAAGUUGCUACUCAUUGUUAUGGGAAUAUCUUUUUAACUGGCCA
Phyllostomus discolor (pale spear-nosed bat) is the source of this 683-nucleotide long non-coding RNA. RefSeq lists it as uncharacterized. The record is from RefSeq and is a predicted model, not a curated record. Lineage: Eukaryota; Metazoa; Chordata; Mammalia; Chiroptera; Phyllostomidae. The transcript has 2 exons.